GUCUACAGUCAUGCCACCCUGAACAAGCCUGAUCCCAUCUGAUCUCGGACGUUAAGAAGGGUUGGGCCUGGUUAGUAUUUGGAUGGGAGACCACCUAGGAAGACCAUGUGCUGUAGGUA
This 119-nucleotide ribosomal RNA is filed under the name Pteropus alecto (black flying fox). The record is from RNAcentral. Lineage: Eukaryota; Metazoa; Chordata; Mammalia; Chiroptera; Pteropodidae.